Molecule: long non-coding RNA, 217 nt
Filed under: Gallus gallus (chicken)
Lineage: Eukaryota; Metazoa; Chordata; Aves; Galliformes; Phasianidae
Source: RNAcentral
GGAAUGGCGUCAGCUCUUAGGUCAUAGUUCUUUGCUUUGGCCUCGUCCCAGGCCUUCUGAUAAUGUUUAUUACUGAUGUUCAGAGCAUUGAGUUUUGACUGCAGCAACUCGGGAGUGUCAGAAGGUAUGGAAAUCUGGGUCUUGUCUUUGUCCCAGACCUCGCGGUACAGAUGAUUACUGAGUUGCAUAGCAUUGAUCUUAGCCUGGACAACAUCCG